This 451-nucleotide ribosomal RNA is filed under the name uncultured bacterium. Its description in RNAcentral is "partial 16S ribosomal RNA". It matches the Rfam family "Bacterial small subunit ribosomal RNA", at positions 28 to 507 of the family's 1533-position model. The record is from RNAcentral.
GAUGAAUGCUGGCGGCGUGCCUAACACAUGCAAGUCGAGCGGCAGCGAGGGGUGCUUGCACCCUGUCGGCGAGCGGCGGACGGCUGAGUAACGCGUGGGAACGUGCCCCAAAGUGAGGAAUAACUGCCCGAAAGGGUAGCUAAUACCGCAUAUUAUCUUCGGAUCAAAGGAUUUAUCCGCUUUGGGAGCGGCUCGCGUCGGAUUAGGUAGUUGGUGAGGUAAUGGCUCACCAAGCCGACGAUCCGUAGCUGGUCUGAGAGGAUGACCAGCCAGACUGGAACUGAGACACGGUCCAGACUCCUACGGGAGGCAGCAGUGAGGAAUCUUCCACAAUGGGCGAAAGCCUGAUGGAGCAACGCCGCGUGCAGGACGAAGGCCUUCGGGUUGUAAACUGCUUUUAUAAGUGAGGAAUAUGACGGUAACUUAUGAAUAAGGAUCGGCUAACUACGUG